GGUUAAGCGACUAAGCGUACACGGUGGAUGCCCUGGCAGUCAGAGGCGAUGAAGGACGUGCUAAUCUGCGAUAAGCGUCGGUAAGGUGAUAUGAACCGUUAUAACCGGCGAUUUCCGAAUGGGGAAACCCAGUGUGUUUCGACACACUAUCAUUAACUGAAUCCAUAGGUUAAUGAGGCGAACCGGGGGAACUGAAACAUCUAAGUACCCCGAGGAAAAGAAAUCAACCGAGAUUCCCCCAGUAGCGGCGAGCGAACGGGGAGGAGCCCAGAGCCUGAAUCAGUGUGUGUGUUAGUGGAAGCGUCUGGAAAGGCGCGCGAUACAGGGUGACAGCCCCGUACACAAAAAUGCACAUACUGUGAGCUCGAUGAGUAGGGCGGGACACGUGGUAUCCUGUCUGAAUAUGGGGGGACCAUCCUCCAAGGCUAAAUACUCCUGACUGACCGAUAGUGAACCAGUACCGUGAGGGAAAGGCGAAAAGAACCCCGGCGAGGGGAGUGAAAAAGAACCUGAAACCGUGUACGUACAAGCAGUGGGAGCACGCUUCGGCG
RNAcentral lists this ribosomal RNA (551 nucleotides) under Escherichia coli. RNAcentral describes it as "partial 23S ribosomal RNA". It matches the Rfam family "Bacterial large subunit ribosomal RNA", at positions 1 to 591 of the family's 2925-position model. The record is from RNAcentral. Lineage: Bacteria; Pseudomonadati; Pseudomonadota; Gammaproteobacteria; Enterobacterales; Enterobacteriaceae.